AGAUUGAACGCUGGCGGAAUGCUUUACACAUGCAAGUCGAACGGCAGCACGGGGGCAACCCUGGUGGCGAGUGGCGAACGGGUGAGUAAUACAUCGGAACGUGCCCAGUCGUGGGGGAUAACGUAGCGAAAGCUACGCUAAUACCGCAUACGAUCUAUGGAUGAAAGCGGGGGAUCGCAAGACCUCGCGCGAUUGGAGCGGCCGAUGGCAGAUUAGGUAGUUGGUGGGGUAAAGGCUCACCAAGCCUGCGAUCUGUAGCUGGUCUGAGAGGACGACCAGCCACACUGGGACUGAGACACGGCCCAGACU
Molecule: ribosomal RNA, 309 nt
Filed under: uncultured soil bacterium
Lineage: Bacteria
Description: bacterial SSU rRNA
Rfam family: Bacterial small subunit ribosomal RNA
Source: RNAcentral